Molecule: small nucleolar RNA, 135 nt
Organism: Rattus norvegicus (Norway rat)
Lineage: Eukaryota; Metazoa; Chordata; Mammalia; Rodentia; Muridae
Product: small nucleolar RNA SNORA17
Source: Ensembl
CCUGCCCCUAGAGGCGUUUCAAGUAUGGCUUCCAUGUCAUGUGUGCAUCAGCAGGUGGCAGGGAGGAGAGAGGCUAUGUGUACACUCAGUGUUCUCACCUGUGAAUAAGCCUGACGUCACCACCAGUCUGGAGCC